AGCAUACCUCGCAUUAAUGCGAGGUCCUUGGUCUUUCAAUCGAAAAAAAAAGAGCUCGCAAUUGAAUGGCAAAGAACUUCGUUGACUCAUUUUUAAACCCCAAAAUUAGAAAACCCUAAAACAUGAACAAAAUUGGGAACUGCAAAUUGAACCCAAAAUCCAUCCCAAAUCCAUCAUUCAAAUUUGUGGAAGAGCAAAAUCCAUCAAGAGGAGGUACGAAUUGUAGGGAAGGUCUGCAAGUUUGCUUUAUCUUACAGCCCCGACACCAAAAGCUUUCGCCAGAAAUUUGAAGUCACUGGAAAGCUGCAAAAUGGAGACCAUUACAUUGAUGCUACAUCCAUUAGCCGGUGAAUGAGGUGUGGAUGGAGUUGGUGACACAAAGGCAAAGCCUUUAUGAGGCUUUGAUUGGUACCACUAGGAUCAAAUAGCCACAAGACCAUCUUUCGAAACUUAGACUAGUUAUUGGGUAAGUUUAUAAGUUUACGACUUGAACAAGGUUACCUCUCUUUAAAUUUACGAUCGCUACGUUUGGAUUAACUGUUUUUUUGGGUGUUUUUCAAAAAAUUUACUGUUCAUUUUUUGUAAAACAGUAAAUAUUGUUUGGAUUGCUGUCAUUCACAAACAAAUUAUUUUUGAAAAA
Coffea arabica (coffee) is the source of this 640-nucleotide long non-coding RNA. RefSeq lists it as uncharacterized. NCBI's taxonomy places the organism in Eukaryota, Viridiplantae, Streptophyta, Magnoliopsida, Gentianales, Rubiaceae. The record is from RefSeq and is a predicted model, not a curated record.